Molecule: ribosomal RNA, 497 nt
Filed under: uncultured bacterium
Lineage: Bacteria
Description: partial 16S ribosomal RNA
Rfam family: Bacterial small subunit ribosomal RNA
Source: RNAcentral
GAUGAACGCUGGCGGCGUGCCUAAUACAUGCCAGUCGAGCGAACGGACGAGAAGCUUGCUUCUCUGAUGUUAGCGGCGGACGGGUGAGUAACACGUGGAUAACCUACCUAUAAGACUGGGAUAACUUCGGGAAACCGGAGCUAAUACCGGAUGAUAUUUUGAACCGCAUGGUUCAAAAGUGAAAGACGGUCUUGCUGUCACUUAUAGAUGGAUCCGCGCUGCAUUAGCUAGUUGGUAAGGUAACGGCUUACCAAGGCAACGAUGCAUAGCCGACCUGAGAGGGUGAUCGGCCACACUGGAACUGAGACACGGUCCAGACUCCUACGGGAGGCAGCAGUAGGGAAUCUUCCGCAAUGGGCGAAAGCCUGACGGAGCAACGCCGCGUGAGUGAUGAAGGUCUUCGGAUCGUAAAACCCUGUUAUUAGGGAAGAACAUAUGUGUAAGUAACUGUGCACAUCUUGACGGUACCUAAUCAGAAAGCCACGGCUAACUACGUG